Molecule: ribosomal RNA, 455 nt
Filed under: uncultured bacterium
Lineage: Bacteria
Description: bacterial SSU rRNA
Rfam family: Bacterial small subunit ribosomal RNA
Source: RNAcentral
UACGGGAGGCAGCAGUGGGGAAUAUUGCACAAUGGGCGAAAGCCUGAUGCAGCUAUGCCGCGUGUAUGAAGAAGGCCUUAGGGUUGUAAAGUACUUUCAUCGGGGAGGAAAAACAAAACUAAUAAUUUUAUUUCUUGACGUUACCCGAAAAAGAAGCACCGGCUAACUCCGUGCCAGCAGCCGCGGUAAUACGGAGGGUGCUAGCGUUAAUCAGAAUUACUGGGCGUAAAGAGCACGUAGGUGGUUUUUUUAAGUCAGAUGUGAAAUCCCUGGGCUUAACCUAGGAACUGCAUUUUGAAACUGAAAUACUAGAGUAUCGUAGAGGGAGGUAGAAUUCUAGGUGUAGCGGUGAAAUGCGUAGAUAUCUGGAGGAAUACCUGUGGCGAAAGCGGCCUCCUAAACGAAUACUGACACUGAGGUGCGAAAGCGUGGGGAGCAAACAGGGAUUAGAUGCC